This 467-nucleotide ribosomal RNA is filed under the name uncultured bacterium. RNAcentral's name for it is "partial 16S ribosomal RNA". It matches the Rfam family "Bacterial small subunit ribosomal RNA", at positions 28 to 507 of the family's 1533-position model. The record is from RNAcentral.
GACGAACGCUGGCGGCGUGCUUAACACAUGCAAGUCGAACGGAAAGGCCUCUUUCGGGGGGUACUCGAGUGGCGAACGGGUGAGUAGCACGUGAGUAACCUGCCCUUGACUUUGGGAUAACUUCAGGAAACUGGGGCUAAUACCGGAUAGGAGCUCCUGCUGCAUGGUGGGGGUUGGAAAGUUUCGGCGGUUGGGGAUGGACUCGCGGCUUAUCAGCUUGUUGGUGGGGUAGUGGCUUACCAAGGCUUUGACGGGUAGCCGGCCUGAGAGGGUGACCGGCCACAUUGGGACUGAGAUACGGCCCAGACUCCUACGGGAGGCAGCAGUGGGGAAUAUUGCACAAUGGGUGGAAGCCUGAUGCAGCCACGCCGUGUGCGGGAUGACGGCCUUCGGGUUGUAAACCGCUUUCGCUCAUGACGAAGCUUUGUGUGACGGUAGUGGGUAAAGAAGCACCGGCUAACUACGUG